This 206-nucleotide microRNA precursor is filed under the name Oryza sativa Japonica Group (Japanese rice). RNAcentral's name for it is "MIR812 microRNA precursor family". It matches the Rfam family "MIR812 microRNA precursor family". Lineage: Eukaryota; Viridiplantae; Streptophyta; Magnoliopsida; Poales; Poaceae. The record is from Rfam by way of RNAcentral.
AGAGAGACAAACCCUGAAUUUUCGUGUCCAACUUUGACUGUCCGUCUUAUAUAAAAUUUUUUUAUAAUUCGUAUUUUUAUUGUUGUUAGAUGAUAAAACAUGAUUAAUAUUUUAUGCGUGACUUGUCUUUUUAUUUUUUUUUAAUAAUUUUUUUAAAUAAGACGGACGAUCAAAUGUUGGGCACGGAAACCAGGGUUUGUCUUUUU